This 69-nucleotide transfer RNA is filed under the name Rattus norvegicus (Norway rat). It matches the Rfam family "tRNA". Rfam says of the family: Transfer RNA (tRNA) molecules are approximately 80 nucleotides in length. The record is from Rfam by way of RNAcentral. Lineage: Eukaryota; Metazoa; Chordata; Mammalia; Rodentia; Muridae.
GGGGAUUUAGCUCAGUGGUAGAGCAUUUGCCUAGCAAGUGCAAGGCCCUGAGUUCGGUCCUCAGCUCCA